Molecule: ribosomal RNA, 114 nt
Filed under: Panthera pardus (leopard)
Lineage: Eukaryota; Metazoa; Chordata; Mammalia; Carnivora; Felidae
Source: RNAcentral
GACAUUUGGUAGAGACUGUUGGAGACACCUGGUCCUAGCAGACCCCAGAAAAAUGGCCACAUUCGCUGGUGCUGGGGCAAGGUUGUUAAGGGUGAAGCCUGGUGCCAGAUGUGU